RNAcentral lists this transfer RNA (96 nucleotides) under Armillaria borealis. It matches the Rfam family "tRNA". Rfam says of the family: Transfer RNA (tRNA) molecules are approximately 80 nucleotides in length. Their secondary structure includes four short double-helical elements and three loops (D, anti-codon, and T loops). Lineage: Eukaryota; Fungi; Basidiomycota; Agaricomycetes; Agaricales; Physalacriaceae. The record is from Rfam by way of RNAcentral.
CCGACCUUAGCUCAGCUGGAAGAGCGCGAGACUGUAAUUGGAUAACGGCGAUUACGUAAUAUCUUGAGGUCGCCUGUUCGAGCCAGGCAGGUCGGA